Molecule: ribosomal RNA, 857 nt
Filed under: Bacillus velezensis
Lineage: Bacteria; Bacillati; Bacillota; Bacilli; Caryophanales; Bacillaceae
Description: bacterial SSU rRNA
Rfam family: Bacterial small subunit ribosomal RNA
Source: RNAcentral
CGGCGGACGGGUGAGUAACACGUGGGUAACCUGCCUGUAAGACUGGGAUAACUCCGGGAAACCGGGGCUAAUACCGGAUGGUUGUUUGAACCGCAUGGUUCAGACAUAAAAGGUGGCUUCGGCUACCACUUACAGAUGGACCCGCGGCGCAUUAGCUAGUUGGUGAGGUAACGGCUCACCAAGGCGACGAUGCGUAGCCGACCUGAGAGGGUGAUCGGCCACACUGGGACUGAGACACGGCCCAGACUCCUACGGGAGGCAGCAGUAGGGAAUCUUCCGCAAUGGACGAAAGUCUGACGGAGCAACGCCGCGUGAGUGAUGAAGGUUUUCGGAUCGUAAAGCUCUGUUGUUAGGGAAGAACAAGUGCCGUUCAAAUAGGGCGGCACCUUGACGGUACCUAACCAGAAAGCCACGGCUAACUACGUGCCAGCAGCCGCGGUAAUACGUAGGUGGCAAGCGUUGUCCGGAAUUAUUGGGCGUAAAGGGCUCGCAGGCGGUUUCUUAAGUCUGAUGUGAAAGCCCCCGGCUCAACCGGGGAGGGUCAUUGGAAACUGGGGAACUUGAGUGCAGAAGAGGAGAGUGGAAUUCCACGUGUAGCGGUGAAAUGCGUAGAGAUGUGGAGGAACACCAGUGGCGAAGGCGACUCUCUGGUCUGUAACUGACGCUGAGGAGCGAAAGCGUGGGGAGCGAACAGGAUUAGAUACCCUGGUAGUCCACGCCGUAAACGAUGAGUGCUAAGUGUUUAGGGGGUUUCCGCCCCUUAGUGCUGCAGCUAACGCAUUAAGCACUCCGCCUGGGGGAGUACGGUCGCAAGACUGAAACUCAAAGGAAUUGACGGGGGCCGCACAAGCGGUGGA